RNAcentral lists this ribosomal RNA (446 nucleotides) under uncultured bacterium. RNAcentral describes it as "partial 16S ribosomal RNA". It matches the Rfam family "Bacterial small subunit ribosomal RNA", at positions 338 to 795 of the family's 1533-position model. The record is from RNAcentral.
CCUACGGGUGGCAGCAGUCGAGAAUCAUUCACAAUGGGGGAAACCCUGAUGGUGCGACGCCGCGUGGGGGAAUGAAGGUCUUCGGAUUGUAAACCCCUGUCAUGUGGGAGCAAAUUAAAAAGAUAGUACCACAAGAGGAAGAGACGGCUAACUCUGUGCAAGCAGCCGCGGUAAUACAGAGGUCUCAAGCGUGGUUCGGAAUCACUGGGCGUAAGGCGUGCGUAGGCUGUUUCGUAAGUCGUGUGUGAAAGGCGCGGGCUCAACCCGCGGACGGCACAUGAUACUGCGAGACUAGAGUAAUGGAGGGGGAACCGGAAUUCUCGGUGUAGCAGUGAAAUGCGUAGAUAUCGAGAGGAACACUCGUGGCGAAGGCGGGUUCCUGGACAUUAACUGACGCUGAGGCACGAAGGCCAGGGGAGCGAAAGGGAUUAGAUACCCGAGUAGUC